UAAACUUGUAACAUUUUUGGCCAAUCCAGAGCUCAGUUUUGGGAAUCUUUGGGUCCUUUCUCCCACCUGGAGAACAGAAGCCCAGGCAUCACCUGAGCUGUAUUUUCGCCCCUCACUUCAGCCGUGGUGGUCAGAAGCAGCCUGAGGAUCUGAGCCCAGUCAGCUGGGGUUGGACCUGUCAUCUCCAGGCUCGCCUUCUCACAGCAGCUCUCCUGCUGUUGCACACUGGGCGAGACUCUGGGCCACUCAGGGGCCAAGGGCGUGUCCUGCCCCAGCCCUUCGUCCUUCCUUUCCAGAACAGAGCUCGUGCCGUGUUUCACGGGUCAGAGUGCCAGCAAAUCCCACUUUCCCGCUGACUCCCCAGACCACCUGUAGGUUCCGUGAUUCCGUAGGACUCACAGGACCCUGCACGGUCACGGCUGUGACUGCGUACAGUGAAAGGUCUCGUGGGCACCCUCUGCCUGGCACAUCCCGACCUUCCAGACUCCGGAGGAAAGCAGGAGUUCAGCGACCUGUACUGUCGGUACACAACUGCGGGCUCCGUGAGCCUCUCUCUUCUUACUGGUUAGGGAGGUGGGCGCCCUCCCGACAUCCAGCCUCGUAGGCAGGCCUUUCUCUCCAGGGUUGGUCGGGCCUGCUGUGUUGACUCGUCCUCUGCAGACCACACAGAAGUAGAGUUGAUGCGUGUGGGCUGGCCUCACGCCCUGCACCCCACUGAACUCGCCUGUUAGCCUUAGCAGUUUCUUGGCGGAUCCCUUCGGGUUUGAGAUCAUGUCGUCCUCAAGCAGACAGUUUGCGUCUUCCUUUCCAGCCCGGACGCCUUUUACUUCUUCGUCUGCCUGGUGCUCUGGCUGGAACCUCCAGCGCAGGUUGAGGACAGGUGGUGUGUGUGGACCCCUCGUCUUGUUGCCACCUGACGGGCCGAGCUCGACUGCUGAGGAGGACGUCAGCUGUGGGUUUUCUUAGGUGCUUUUAUCAAGGUGAGGACGUGCCCUUCUGUUGCUUUUGUCGAGGUUUGUUGUUUUCCUGGAAGGUGCUGGAUUUUGUCCGAUGAUUUUUCUGUAUCUGUUGAGACGAUGCAGUGUUGCACUAGUUGGAUUUCGGGUGUCACGUUCUUGCAUCCCAGGGAUAAAUCCUGUUCGCUCAUGGUGCAGAAUCUCUUUUAUGCAUCCUGGAUUAGGCUCGCUGUUGUCGUGACGAGGACUUUUGCUUCUGUAUUUACACUGGAUAAUGGUGUGUGGCUUUCCAGUGACGUCUUUGGUUCAGUGUCAGGGUGACGCUGGUCUCGGAGGGACAUGGGAAGCGGUCUCUCCUCUUCUGUUUUGUGAAAGUUUGUGAAGAGUUGGAGUUAAUUCUUCUUUAACCAUUUGGUAGAAUUCACCAGUGAACGCCUCUGGGCUUGGGCUGUUCUUUGUGGGAAGUUUUAAAAUUGCUGAGUAAUCGCUUUGCCUGUGUUCCCCGUCGCGUCAGCACUGGUGGCAUGUCUCCCGGGAGCUGGUCUGCCCCACCAGGACACGGUCGUCUGUGGUUUCCCUCAUCUUCCUGGUUUCUAGCGGGGUGCCCCCUUUUAUUCGCGGCUGCUGUGGCUGUGAAAGCAUGAAAGAUUCCUCAGGUGCAGGCAGCUGCUUCUUAGUCGUGGGGUGAGUGUGUGAGAAAGUCCGGCCAUUAGACCGAAGGGCAUUCGUGUUCAGAGGCAGCUGCUGGGAAGGGAAGCCUCCUGUGUCUUCCGGGAGGACUCGCGUGCGCCCCCCGCCCCUCCGCUCUUGGUGGCACCAGCAGCCGCCUGCCGUUUGCCGCUGGCACCCUGGCGUUCGGUUGGUGCCCUGGUGGCCACUGCAGAGCGGUGCCUGUGGCUGCGGCCCACCCUUGUGCACAGCCUGGGGAGAGACCCGGCCUCACACGCUCCACUGUAGUGUCUGUCGGGGCCGCUCAGCCUCUGAGAGCGGCGUUUCCCCCACCCGCGGUCCUUCCACACGUGUCCAGGUGGGUUCGGAGCCGGAGUUCCCGGAACAAGGACUGGGGUCGAAGUUCACGUGCACGUGGAUGUCGUGGCUGUGCCUGUCCCGUGUCCUCUGCAGGGUGCCCUGUCUGGCGUCUCGGGAAGGGCGUGUGGAGGGUGAAAGGAGGGUCCUGCCUUGAUGAAUCUGCUUUUCUCUAAGGCAGUAGGGGUCAGGACUGAGCAUCUUUCACAGGUGUGGAAAGGCUUUUGUAUCUGAUUCUGUCCUUUGUCCCCUUUGUUUGCUUGUGGCCUUCGGGCGCUUCCUGUGAGGUCAGGUCUGGGUGGAUGGUACCUGCUUCGUGCCCAGGGGGUUCCAGCCUCCAGGGGCUCCCCCGUCACUGGGCUCGCCUGGCCUGAGUGGGGCUGGGUGGUACCAGCAUGGGGGCUUGUGCCCCUCCUUCUCUCGCCAGCUUCCUGGAGAAGAGGGGAUGGCUGCUGGAGAGGCAGGAGCAGCUCGGGAGGCUGAGCACGCAGGCCACAGACGAGGAGGAGAGCAAGCAGGUGGCCCUGGGCACGUCCAAGCUCAACUGCCUGGACCCCCGGAUCAGUGUCGCCUGGUGCGUGGGCCCAGGCCACCGCGCCCACUCGUGGCCUCGAGGAGGGGACUGGACCCCUGAGUGGCCCCAGUUCAGUCCCCUGGGCCCUGUGGUCAGCACAGGUCCUUCCUGUGGUGGGACCCGACUGGCUGGUGUGUUUAAUGCUGAGUCCUGGGUCACUGGUCCUCUCUGCCCGAGAGCUCUGGGGCAGUGGAAGGCUGGGGUGGGACCCCAAGCCGCAUACCAGCCACAGAGAGCCCAGCCUGCCCACUGGGGGUGGGGUGACUGGGUCGCCUGUGUGCCCUGUAAGCGUCCCCUGAGCACCCCGCUCGGAGGACAGCUGGGCUGCACUGGGGGACACGGCCUCCUCCCUGCUGCCCUGGGCUGGUGGCCGUGCUGUGGGUGCUGUGCCCAGGAGGAGCAGGUUGGGUCGCCUGGUGUCCUGACCUCUGUCCCGCUCCUCCCAAGAACUCUGGUCUCCUCUUGGCAGGUGUAAGAGGUUUGGGGUGCCCGUGGAGAAGAUCUACAACAAGACACAGAGGGAGAAGUUCGCCUGGGCUCUCGACAUGGCAGGCGAGACUUUGAAUUCUAAAUGAGCGUCUCUGUGCCUCGUCGGAACUUAUUUUUUUUCACCAUUAACGCAGAUUGGGGAAUUUUGUACAAAGUAGUGUCUUUUGUGUCAUCACACAGAAGGUGGCUGAUGCCCGGCCGGGUGCUUUCAAGUGUCCCCUGCCCCAUCAGGUGUCCCCUGGCCUGGCUGGGAGCUGGCGUGGCAGCGUGCCUGGUCCCAGGCUGUGACUUGGGGAGGGCCCGACUGUCCCGUAGAGGCCUAUGCCUCCCCACUCCCAAACUCUGCCCCAGCACCGGGCAGGGACCCCCUGAGACACGCUGCACCUGUUACCUCAACAGAUGGGACGGCGGGGCCCUGAGUGCCCAUUGAGCCUGUCUCUCCCUGGUGGGUGGGCGGAGUCCACGUGUCCCCGAGAGAGCAGCUGGCAGCACGUGGGGCUGUCCUGAGUUCCAGGCCAGCAGGAGCUGUGGUGUCUGUGCCCUCAGGCCACCUGGUGCGGUGCACAGGCCCUCAGGGGCUGGUUUCGGAGUCACAGGGAAAGAUCUCGGGUGGCUGUGUGGCACUCAGUGGCCAGGGACAUAUGGGCGUGGCUGACGAUGGAUGGGAGUGCCACUGAUGUGGGGUGGGAGGGACACCCCUGCCGCAGCCAGGCCUGUGGUCUGCCUGCAGGCUCCUGGAGCUGGAGGUGGGCAGGGGCUGGGAGGUGUCUUCUUUCAAAUUCUAGGUUGGGGGGGCAGAUAAUUUUUCUUUGUAGUUUAUACGUCUCUGGCUCAAGAGGCAUCUCAUCUACACCCAGACCAGGUGAAACUCACCAGAGAACAGCCUUUGGAUGGGACUUCCGGGUGCCUUAGGGGCGGGCAUGUUUCGUGUGGAAGGAAAAGUAAGUAAGCGUGGCUACAGCGUGGAGUGUAGAAAACUAAGUGGUCCCAAGUCUGCAGAUCCUUGUCAUUCCCUGGGGCUCUCUGGGCCCUCGCCACUGUCUGCAGUGGACUCCCUGUUUACUGGACCCCACCCACCCCUGUCUCCCAGCUCCUAGUGUGUUAGGGGAUCUUCUUUUUGUGGCCUCCUGAAAAAAAAAGUUUCAUGAACAGCAGUGAAAAAAUUUCAGUUUGCAUGUCUGAAAAUACUGUCAUCCGACUGUCACACUGGACUCACGACUCCAUACGUGUAAACUUACAGGUUGCAAAUUAUUUUCAGUUGUAACUUUCAAAGCAUUGUUCCGUUGUCUUCCGACUUGGGAUGCGCUGUUGGGAAGUUCCCCGGGAUCUGAUGCCCAGUGCUCCGUGGGAUCUGCUGUCUGGCCUGCCGCCUCUGAGUGCACAGCAUGCGGAAUCUUAGUUCCUCGACCAGGAAUUGAACCUGUGCCACCUGCGGUGGAAGCGUGGAGUCCUAACCACUGGACCACCAAGUAAGUCCCCUAUUCUGUUCUCUUUUAGUGGACACAGUUCCUUCUUGAUCUCGUUGAAGUUACUAACUACCAUCUCGCUCACCUUUUCUACGUUUCUUGCACUAUCUCUGUUUCCUCUGAGUUUGUAAAAAGCUCCUUUUCUGGUUUGACCUCGCAUGCGCAUCGAGAACCUCCUCAGCUGUCUGGUGCUGGCCUUCCAUCCAUGGGGACGGGGUGGGGGCGUUCUGAACCCAGGGGAGCCUUGCUGCCUCUGGAGCAGCUGAAUGCGGUUGCCACUGAGGUUGGUCUUUAUGGCAGGACUUUGGUGUUUCUCUGAGAUGGUUCCUGUUCUCUGGUGAGGACCCUGCAGACCCGCCGUCUCCAGUCACGGAGCCUUCCCAGAACUUAAAUUGGUGGGCGUCUCACCUCCGGAGGCCCCUUGGCGGACUCCUGCCUCUGCCUACUUUAUCUUCACAGCCGUCCAACUUUCCCAACACCACUUGCUGAAGAGACUGUCUUUUCUACAUUGCAUAUUUCUGCCUCCCUUGUCGAAGAUUAACUGAUGGUAAGUGUGUGGGUUUAUUCCUGGGCUCUCUAUUCUGGUGAUCCGUAUGUCUGUUUUUGUGCCAAUACCAUGUUGUUUGAUUACUGUAGCUUUGUAGUAUUGUCUGAAGUCUGGGAGGGUUAUGCCUCCUGUUUUGUUCUUUUUCCUCAGGACUGCUUUGGCA
Molecule: RNA transcript, 5221 nt
Organism: Orcinus orca (killer whale)
Lineage: Eukaryota; Metazoa; Chordata; Mammalia; Artiodactyla; Delphinidae
Gene: TOP1MT
Gene name: DNA topoisomerase I mitochondrial
Exons: 3
Source: RefSeq, a predicted model, not a curated record